GAUGAACGCUGGCGGUAUGCUUAACACACGCAAGUCGAACGGACUCUUCGGAGUUAGUGGCGGACGGGUGAGUAACGCGUGAGAAUCUGGCUUUGGGUUCGGGACAACCACUGGAAACGGUGGCUAAUACCGGAUGUGCCGAGAGGUAAAAGAGAAAUUGCCUGAAGAUGAGCUCGCGUCUGAUUAGCUAGUUGGUGAGGUAAAGGCUCACCAAGGCAGCGAUCAGUAGCUGGUCUGAGAGGAUGACCAGCCACACUGGGACUGAGACACGGCCCAGACUCCUACGGGAGGCAGCAGUGGGGAAUUUUCCGCAAUGGGCGAAAGCCUGACGGAGCAAUACCGCGUGAGGGAAGAAGGCUCUUGGGUUGUAAACCUCUUUUCUUAGGGAAGAACAAAAUGACGGUACCUAAGGAAUCAGCAUCGGCUAACUCCGUGC
Molecule: ribosomal RNA, 436 nt
Filed under: uncultured bacterium
Lineage: Bacteria
Description: partial 16S ribosomal RNA
Rfam family: Bacterial small subunit ribosomal RNA
Source: RNAcentral